Molecule: transfer RNA, 57 nt
Filed under: Daphnia magna
Lineage: Eukaryota; Metazoa; Arthropoda; Branchiopoda; Diplostraca; Daphniidae
Rfam family: tRNA
About the family: Transfer RNA (tRNA) molecules are approximately 80 nucleotides in length. Their secondary structure includes four short double-helical elements and three loops (D, anti-codon, and T loops). Further hydrogen bonds mediate the characteristic L-shaped molecular structure. tRNAs have two regions of fundamental functional importance: the anti-codon, which is responsible for specific mRNA codon recognition, and the 3' end, to which the tRNAs corresponding amino acid is attached (by aminoacyl-tRNA synthetases). tRNAs cope with the degeneracy of the genetic code in two manners: having more than one tRNA (with a specific anti-codon) for a particular amino acid; and 'wobble' base-pairing, i.e. permitting non-standard base-pairing at the 3rd anti-codon position.
Source: Rfam by way of RNAcentral
UGGCUCAGUGGUAGAGCAUCGGCUUGGUAUGCCGAAGAUUAAGGGUUCAAAUCCCUG